GCUUUUGUAUCAGUGGUAAAAUGCUCGCCUGCCACGCGGGCUCCCAGGUUCGAUUCCCGGCCGAUGCA
Molecule: transfer RNA, 68 nt
Filed under: Cordylochernes scorpioides
Lineage: Eukaryota; Metazoa; Arthropoda; Arachnida; Pseudoscorpiones; Chernetidae
Description: tRNA-Gly
Source: RNAcentral